This 271-nucleotide ribosomal RNA is filed under the name uncultured archaeon. RNAcentral's name for it is "partial 16S ribosomal RNA". It matches the Rfam family "Archaeal small subunit ribosomal RNA", at positions 477 to 747 of the family's 1478-position model. The record is from RNAcentral.
CAGCGCCACGAGUGGGGACCACGUUUAUUGGGCCUAAAGCGUCCGUAGCUGGUUUGUUAAAUCUUUUGUGAAAUCGUAGGGCUUAACCUUACGGCUUGCAAGAGACACUGACAAACUUGGAACCGGGAUGGGCAUGAGGUAUUCCUAGGGUAGCGGUAAAAUGUUAUAAUCCUAGGAGGACCACCUGUGGCGAAGGCGUCAUGCUAGAACGGAUUCGACAGUGAGGGACGAAAGCCAGGGGAGCGAUCCGGAUUAGAUACCCGAGUAGUCC